RNAcentral lists this microRNA precursor (124 nucleotides) under Choloepus hoffmanni (Hoffmann's two-fingered sloth). Its description in RNAcentral is "miRNA (ENSCHOG00000015206.1)". The record is from RNAcentral. Lineage: Eukaryota; Metazoa; Chordata; Mammalia; Pilosa; Megalonychidae.
UCUGUGGGAGAGUUGGAGAUCAGAAACACAUCAUCCUCUCCCUCAAAAGCUUACAAAUGAAUCAAGAGGUGAAGGUAAACACAAUUGACUUAUUUAAAGGUGGACUUUGAUAAGACCCAUAAGA